Aedes aegypti (yellow fever mosquito) is the source of this 750-nucleotide long non-coding RNA. RefSeq lists it as uncharacterized. The transcript is spliced from 3 exons. NCBI's taxonomy places the organism in Eukaryota, Metazoa, Arthropoda, Insecta, Diptera, Culicidae. The record is from RefSeq and is a predicted model, not a curated record.
CAGUUGUUGAAAGAUCAACAUCAUAAUGAAGACGUUCGAUUUCGUUUUGUUCACCUGGAUAUUGUCAGCCUGUACAAGCAAGAGCUUCGCACAAACACCUGCAACAACGGUUAUAGUUCCUGGAGACGGAGUUUUUCCUCUCUGGUGGUCCUCAUCCGCCUAUGUGUGGGGGUUUAUUAAGCUUGGUUACAUCUUGGCUGGAUUGCUCGCGCUUUUCGUCUACCGACACUGGGCGUACGAUUCGGAGCCCGAGUAUGGAAACUAUUAUCACUACAGGGAUUUGGAUUCCUCCAAUGGUAGAUCGGUUGGCAUCAAUGUUGAUGAGAAAAUAGAGAGCUUUCGUCACAAAUUUAAGUGAAAACAUUCUACAGAACUUUAUUUUUUUGUUUACUUAACCAUUUGAGCUGUGAUAAUUAUAGUGAAAACUAAUACAUACGUUUUCAAAGUUUUUAGUUUUGAAGAAAUGAAUGAAAGAAUGCCAUUAUUGAAAUUAUUCAGAAUAGUCACGAGGCUUUCAGCCUUGGGAUGAUUCACCUCGACUGUCUGAUUAAUUGACGAGCCAGAAGAGGCAGGUAGGGAAACUUUUUGAACUUUAAUUUUUCAAUCUUGGACUCAUGAAGGUUCCUAUAUCGAGCUAUUAAGUAUUUGAAGGGUUAGGUUUUGUAAAAUUAAGAUACUGUGAAUGGAUUUCAGUAAACCAUCAGCCAUAAGAUUAUUACUGAUUGCUUUUUUUUCAAGUAAUUAUGAAAA